CUGGGAAACUGCCUGAUGGAGGGGGAUAACUACUGGAAACGGUAGCUAAUACCGCAUAACGUCUACGGACCAAAGUGGGGGACCUUCGGGCCUCACGCCAUCAGAUGUGCCCAGAUGGGAUUAGCUAGUAGGUGGGGUAAUGGCUCACCUAGGCGACGAUCCCUAGCUGGUCUGAGAGGAUGACCAGCCACACUGGAACUGAGACACGGUCCAGACUCCUACGGGAGGCAGCAGUGGGGAAUAUUGCACAAUGGGCGCAAGCCUGAUGCAGCCAUGCCGCGUGUGUGAAGAAGGCCUUAGGGUUGUAAAGCACUUUCAGCGAGGAGGAAGGGUAGUGUGUUAAUAGCACAUUGCAUUGACGUUACUCGCAGAAGAAGCACCGGCUAACUCCGUGCCAGCAGCCGCGG
Molecule: ribosomal RNA, 407 nt
Filed under: uncultured bacterium
Lineage: Bacteria
Description: bacterial SSU rRNA
Rfam family: Bacterial small subunit ribosomal RNA
Source: RNAcentral